Molecule: non-coding RNA, 2661 nt
Organism: Ictidomys tridecemlineatus (thirteen-lined ground squirrel)
Lineage: Eukaryota; Metazoa; Chordata; Mammalia; Rodentia; Sciuridae
Source: RefSeq, a predicted model, not a curated record
UGUCCCAGGCCUUUGCAUGGGUCCGCGUCUCCAUUCAGCAAAGCGGCUGCCACAGCUCCCUCACUCUGCAGGGAGAAGAGCUGGGGAGCCAGGCGCCAGGCCCCUGGCUGCUUGUGUCCCAGCAGACUCUGCCCACCCUUCUCUCACCAGACCUCAGAAGCAUCCUUGCCGUCACCUUCAGCUGCCUGGCCAUCGUCCUCCUCCUCAUCUGUGUCUUCCUGGUGGACCGGUGGACACGGCAAGACUCGUCGGACGGAGACUCCUCCAAGAGAAGCAGCCAUUCCAAAUGUGACAAGCAGGAGACUUCAGAUUUCGCUCACCUGGAAAAUUCACCUGUCCCCCCAGUGGCUGCAGAGGAGCGGUUCCUCUCCUGGGCCUUUGCGGCAGUCCCUGUGAGCGUGGGCAGGACACCCCAGCUCCUGGAGCACAGCUCGGAGUGGGCCGUCCAGCUGAACCGGCACCAUGUCUGUUCUUCUGCUCUGUCUCAUGCAACCAGCACCAGUGCAUGUGGCCCCUGAGCAGGCGAAAUGCAGCCAGUGGCACCGAGGUCCUGAAUUUCAAUGCAACUUAGAUUAAUGUGGAUUUAAGUAGCCCUCUGUGGCUAGGGACUGCCACAUUGGACCACCAGGCGCUACAGACCCUCCGUAUCCGUCUCCAGGAAGUGACCCAUGUUGAGCUGAACGCUGACAUACCCUCCGAGGUGGCUUCUGUCCCCGCUGAGGUGCCCCCAGCAUCUCGAGAAGGUGCAGAGCUGGAAGUGUAGAAGAGGGGGACGCGCCGGGGGUGGGAUUAGGAGCACUGUGGUGAUUGGGAAUGCGAAAAUCCACUUGUCCCUGCGGCCCUUGCUCGUAGCCACAUCAAUAAAAGAAGUUUCUCAUCUCAGAAGGAUCUGGCUUCUUUGUGGAUUAUCAAGACCAACAACUGGACCCCACUAUCUCUGCCCACAGUUCUCCCUUGACCAAUUCAAGGAAAUAACCAAAAACCACUGACCCACUGUCAGCAAAUAAUCAGUGAUCACCUCCAGGAGAAACGGGGAGAAGAAAACGGUCAAAGGGAUUCAGCUCAGUUCCGUGGCCUGUUUUACCCAAUGAGCGGAAGAUAGAGGGUUCAACUGUGCGUAUUACUGACAAUUCUGCAAAGGUAGAAUGGAUGGGCAGGUCACAGAUCUAAGGGCUCGGUCAUAACUGAAUGGUCUUACUUUUUUUUUAAUUUGCUUUUGCUUUUCUGAGACAGGCUCUUGCUGUGUUGCCCAGGCUGGCCUCUAAGUCCUGGGCCCAAGUGGUCCUCCCACCUCAGCCUCCUGAGAGAAUGGUCUCUCCAUGUAAACUCAGUAUGUUCAAUGGAGAGGGAAGACCAGAUGAUUUAAAGUAUAUGUAAAUGUUCCAAUCAGCUUUCGGAGAGUGUCUAAAAGGGGCAGCGAGGCCAGGGACAUCUGCCGCACCUUGCUCCAUUGGCUCAGGAGAUAACAACAAAGACAUGACAUUUCUCCUCUGGCUUCCACACCUCUCAAACACUCCUGGAUGGGUGUCCGUGAAAAGCAGAGUGUGACGUCAGCAGGACCUCACAGCCACCAGGGGGUCCGUGGUGGCACCUCAGGAGGAGAGUCAUCUCAGAGGCCAUCUUGCCCAACACUUUGCUCAGGUCCCGGGUGACAGGUGCCAGGGCUGGUGAUCUGAGUCAGGAUUGUUCUUCCAGAGUCCAGCAGGUACCAGCGGCAGACUCAGCUCAGAGCCCUGACCCGCUGACUCUGCACCAGAGGACAGAAACCGUGGCCCGAGCAGGACCGGAGUGGUGCUGUCAGCUCUGGCCACGGGGCCUCCUCGAGGCCAGGCGGCUGGGCCAUCGUAGCUCCAGCACAGGUGGCUGUGCUCAGAUGAAACUGGAUCGACCGAAACAAGCCAGGGCGCGUUUGCCAGUCCCUGUCCCGGGCCGCGGCUUCUGCCAGUCCGACUUAUCAGAGUAGGAACUGGAAUGGGCAGAAACACGGGCUCAGUGCACAGGGAACUCUGCGUCCACAUUCUCCAUUUUCAGAAUGAGAGAUCCUGCAGGAUGGGAGAGCACCCAGUCCUCCCGCCUUGGACACCCUCCUGCAGCAGGGUGUAGGUCUCCUAAGAGCCAGCAUCUCCCCGGAGAAAGGCCCCGCUGGCCCAGGGGCCUGGGAGGCGCCUGUUUCCGGGGAAGCUUGCGGCUUGUGUCUCAGAGUAAGGAGCCGAGCUCAGGGAAGGGUCAAAGGAGCCUGGAAGAAGAGACCCUGGAGGCACAGCCACCGCGCAGGCUGUGGUCUGCCCUGGCAAAGCUCGUGUUGAAAUUCAAUUACGAAUGUGGGGGUCUGCAGCGUGUGGGCCCCCAAGUGGUGGGCUCCACCUUCACAGGGCUCCACCUCCCUGAGCAGAUCAGCACAGAGUGGGUGAGCCACUGUGACAGUGAGUGGCCAUGGGCGUGUCCCCCUUCAUCCCUCCUCUCUCCCACACGUGCCCACUCACAGUCACACAUACCCUCCUCCCACAGGAUGCUGUCCGCCAGGUUACCAUGCAGCACGAGGCCCUCGCCAAGGGGGACACCGGGUCUUGAACCCCCAGCCUCCAGAACAGGAGCUAAAUAAACCUCUUAACUUUAUAAAUUACCCAGGCUCAAGUGCUCUAUUAGAGGAAUAAAAAACAG